UACAGAGGUCUCAAGCGUUGUUCGGAUUCAUUGGGCGUAAAGGGUGUGUAGGUGGCGCCGUAAGUCGGGUGUGAAAUUUCGGAGCUUAACUCCGAAACUGCAUUCGAUACUGCCGUGCUUGAGGACUGGAGAGGAGACUGGAAUUUACGGUGUAGCAGUGAAAUGCGUAGAUAUCGUAAGGAAGACCAGUGGCGAAGGCGGGUCUCUGGACAGUUCCUGACGCUGAGGCACGAAGGCCAGGGGAGCAAACGGG
This 253-nucleotide ribosomal RNA is filed under the name uncultured bacterium. Its description in RNAcentral is "partial 16S ribosomal RNA". It matches the Rfam family "Bacterial small subunit ribosomal RNA", at positions 524 to 776 of the family's 1533-position model. The record is from RNAcentral.